UAAUAAUUUAACGAAAAAGCUCAUAUAUACCCCGAAUAUGGCGGGAAGUUUCUACCAAAAACCGUAAAUUUUUGACUAUGAGUGAAAGAGAAUAUAUA
RNAcentral lists this non-coding RNA (98 nucleotides) under Clostridium cellulovorans. RNAcentral describes it as "Guanine sequence". It matches the Rfam family "Purine riboswitch aptamer". From Rfam's summary of the family: Riboswitches are metabolite binding domains within certain messenger RNAs that serve as precision sensors for their corresponding targets. RNAcentral also lists the same sequence under 1 other name. Lineage: Bacteria; Bacillati; Bacillota; Clostridia; Eubacteriales; Clostridiaceae. The record is from RNAcentral.